GAUGAACGCUGGCGGCGUGCUUAACACAUGCAAGUCGAGCGAAGCAGUUAAGAAGAUUCUUCGGAUGAUUCUUAACCGACUGAGCGGCGGACGGGUGAGUAACGCGUGGGUGACCUGCCCCAUACCGGGGGAUAACAGCUGGAAACGGCUGCUAAUACCGCAUAAGCGCACAGAGCUGCAUGGCUCGGUGUGAAAAACUCCGGUGGUAUGGGAUGGGCCCGCGUCUGAUUAGGCAGUUGGCGGGGUAACGGCCCACCAAACCGACGAUCAGUAGCCGGCCUGAGAGGGCGACCGGCCACAUUGGGACUGAGACACGGCCCAAACUCCUACGGGAGGCAGCAGUGGGGAAUAUUGCACAAUGGGGGAAACCCUGAUGCAGCGACGCCGCGUGAGCGAAGAAGUAUUUCGGUAUGUAAAGCUCUAUCAGCAGGGAAGAUAA
RNAcentral lists this ribosomal RNA (439 nucleotides) under uncultured bacterium. RNAcentral describes it as "bacterial SSU rRNA". It matches the Rfam family "Bacterial small subunit ribosomal RNA", at positions 28 to 451 of the family's 1533-position model. The record is from RNAcentral.